GCCAGCAGCCAUAUCACUCUGCAGCUCCCAGCUGGCAGCCCACUGAAGCCCAGCAGGUGUGAGCCUGGUCAGUACCUGGAUGGGAGACCUCCUGGGAAAAACUAAGGUUGCUGCUGGAA
RNAcentral lists this ribosomal RNA (119 nucleotides) under Lepisosteus oculatus (spotted gar). Lineage: Eukaryota; Metazoa; Chordata; Actinopteri; Semionotiformes; Lepisosteidae. The record is from RNAcentral.